Molecule: ribosomal RNA, 605 nt
Filed under: uncultured Spirochaeta sp.
Lineage: Bacteria; Pseudomonadati; Spirochaetota; Spirochaetia; Spirochaetales; Spirochaetaceae
Description: bacterial SSU rRNA
Rfam family: Bacterial small subunit ribosomal RNA
Source: RNAcentral
AACGUAGCUCAGUCGAGAUUCCUACGGGAGGCAGCAGCUAAGAAUCUUCCGCAAUGGGCGAAAGCCUGACGGAGCGACGCCGCGUGGACGAAGAAGGCCGGAAGGUUGUAAAGUCCUUUUCCUGGGGGAGAAUAAUGCGGGGAGGGAAUGCCCUGCAGAUGACGUGAACCAGGGAAUAAGCCCCGGCUAAUUACGUGCCAGCAGCCGCGGUAACACGUAAGGGGCGAGCGUUGUUCGGAUUUAUUGGGCGUAAAGGGCGUGUAGGCGGUAGUGCAAGUCUGGUGUGAAAGGCCCCGGCUCAACCGGGGAAGCGCGCUGGAAACUGUGCUGCUAGAGUUUAGGAGGGGAAGCUGGAAUUCCUGGUGUAGGGGUGAAAUCUGUAGAGAUCAGGAAGAACACCGGAGGCGAAGGCGAGCUUCUGGCCAUAGACUGACGCUGAGGCGCGAAAGCGUGGGGAGCAAACAGGAUUAGAUACCCUGGUAGUCCACGCUGUAAACGAUGUGCACUAGGUGUUGGGGGUAUGAACUCUCGGUGCCGGAGCUAACGCGUUAAGUGCACCGCCUGGGGAGUACGCCGGCAACGGUAAAACUCAAAGGAAUUGACGG